GUGUAAUCAAAGAAUGAAUCCUUUCUUGAAAGUGCAAGGUGGGAUGAAUUAGAUCAGUGGUGCAAAAGCAGAUGUUCUUUACUGUGAUAGGCCUUUCUUUGGAUACUCUGGGAAGAAGGGACCUAAACAAAACACUAAACUGAAGAGGAUUCAGAGGUGCAAUCACUGCCAGCCACUGCAAGCAAGAGAAAUCCCCUUUAAAUAGAUAUUUUCUCUGCAUUUGUUUCCAAACUGUAAUUCUGCUGCAUGACUUAAAAAAAGAGGGGGGAAAAAAGGAAAAGAAAAAAAAAAAAAAAAAAAGAUUUGAUAUUUCAGUCUCUCAGGGCAGCUUCCGAAUAAUUACAUGCAAAAUGAUCUAUUAUAUAUUUAUUGAAAAUAGUAUUGCUGAGUACAAAUGUGCAUUUUAUUCAGAAUGGUCAUUUUUUAAAGGCAUCUAUUGUAGCUGAUUCACUAACAUCCAGGGGUUCUUGCCAUACACACAGCACAGAUUUUUUUGAUUAUGUAGAUUUUUUUUUCCUAUUGCAGUUUCAUAUGCAAAGCAUGCAUCAGCCACAUCCAUGCUAUCUCCUAAAGCAGUCAUUCUGAAACCCAAUCUGGGGACAGUGCAGACUAAAUAAAAUUUCAUUUUGAUUUGGCCUCCCGCUGAGAAUGGGACUGCUUUGUUUCAGCCGACAGAACCAGCAAGCCAGAAAGGUGUUGAAUACACAAAAACUGACUUAACGGACAAUUGUCACACCACAGGAAGGUGUUGGGCACAUCCAGAAGCUACCUGGAUCCAAGAGUUUCCCUAUGGAUGAAAGGUGAAUAUUUGUCAUAUCAACAAUGCGGCAACCUGAACCCAGAAGAAAUCUGGCAGGUUUACUGGAGGCAGUUUUACCCGUUUUUCACUCCUCUCUUCCGGACUCUUACAAGCAGACUAAACUCUAGGGAUGAAGCUGAAGAAGACUGA
This 949-nucleotide long non-coding RNA is filed under the name Coturnix japonica (Japanese quail). RNAcentral describes it as "lncRNA (ENSCJPG00005013219.1)". The record is from RNAcentral. Lineage: Eukaryota; Metazoa; Chordata; Aves; Galliformes; Phasianidae.